This 116-nucleotide ribosomal RNA is filed under the name Pteropus alecto (black flying fox). The record is from RNAcentral. Lineage: Eukaryota; Metazoa; Chordata; Mammalia; Chiroptera; Pteropodidae.
GUCUACAGCCAUUCCACCCUGAACAAGCCCGAUGUCUGAUCUCGGAAGCUAAGCAUGGUCGGGCCUGGUUAGUACUUAGAUAGGAGACCACCUAGGAAAACCAGGUGCUCUAGGCA